CAGUUCAACGUAACACCACGGCCAGGUGAAUCGAAUGCUUCCGUUUCAUCGAAGUCAUAAUGAAGUUAUGCAUUUUUUAUGCUAAGCGACAUUUAUUUGAAGGCUUUACUAAAUUUUGAGAAAUGCUUGUCAGGACAAAAGACUGAAAAAGACUGAAAAACUGCCUUUAAACACAGCCAUCAUUAAUGUAAAUGGAUUCAUAAGGAGCAUCCAAACAAUAUGUUAUUAGGAUCAUCAGAGACUGGCAAUUUUUUACCACUCACUGUGAUAGAUGCAUCUAAAUAAACAUUGAAAUGUUAAA
Long non-coding RNA from Saccostrea echinata, 301 nucleotides. RefSeq lists it as uncharacterized. The record is from RefSeq and is a predicted model, not a curated record. NCBI's taxonomy places the organism in Eukaryota, Metazoa, Mollusca, Bivalvia, Ostreida, Ostreidae. The transcript has 2 exons.